UACGUAGGGGGCUAGCGUUGCCCGGAAUCACUGGGCGUAAAGCGCUCGUAGGCGGUCUCUUAAGUCGGUGGUGAAAUCCUGGAGCUCAACUCCAGAACUGCCUUCGAUACUGAGAGUCUUGAGUCCGGGAGAGGUGAGUGGAACUGCGAGUGUAGAGGUGAAAUUCGUAGAUAUUCGCAAGAACACCAGUGGCGAAGGCGGCUCACUGGCCCGGUACUGACGCUGAGGUGCGAAAGCGUGGGGAGCAAACAGG
RNAcentral lists this ribosomal RNA (253 nucleotides) under uncultured bacterium. RNAcentral describes it as "partial 16S ribosomal RNA". It matches the Rfam family "Bacterial small subunit ribosomal RNA", at positions 524 to 776 of the family's 1533-position model. The record is from RNAcentral.